RNAcentral lists this ribosomal RNA (232 nucleotides) under uncultured bacterium. RNAcentral describes it as "partial 16S ribosomal RNA". It matches the Rfam family "Bacterial small subunit ribosomal RNA", at positions 100 to 334 of the family's 1533-position model. The record is from RNAcentral.
CGGGACGGGUGAGUAAUGUCUGGGAAACUGCCUGAUGGAGGGGGAUAACUACUGGAAACGGUAGCUAAUACCGCAUAACGUCGCAAGACCAAAGAGGGGGACCUUCGGGCUCUUGCCAUCGGAUGUGCCCAGAUGGGAUUAGCUAGUAGGUGGGGUAACGGCUCACCUAGGCGACGAUCCCUAGCUGGUCUGAGAGGAUGACCAGCCACACUGGAACUGAGACACGGUCCAG